GAGAUGGUUUUAAAGCACUGUGAAGUGGUAUAUAAGUCUAAAUGCUAUUGCUGUCAUUAGUCACCUAACACCAAGAUCAUAAAUUUGGUGUGCCACAGGAGAAUGGCAGGUAGCUGCUGGAAACAAUGUAAAGUCCCUGCUUAGCCUAGCCUCAGCUUGAUUGAUCCAUAAACUGUGUGUAGGCUUGUUCAUCUGUUCCUUACUCCAGUAUUGUUCUCUGCCCUCAGUAAUGUUUCCUGGUUGGGGUGAGGGAGCAAAGGAAGACAGAAUAAUGAAAGUAGCUUGUGGUAUUGUGAUGCAAAAUCUAUCCCUUUUUUGUACACUUCUAAUGAAAGCAGCAAGUUUCUGCAAAACCUCGUGCAGUCCACCUUCUCUGAUCCUUCAGUGGCAUACAGGUAGUCCUCAACUUAUGACCGGUCACUUAGCAGCCAUUCAAAAUUAUAUGGCGGAAUUUCCCUCCCCCUCAAAGCUAUUUAGGACCUGGUCUUGAAGUUAUAGCUGCUGCAGCAUCCCCCUGGCUGUUCACCCUUACACCUGACUGUAGGGUUGCUUCAGCACACCCAGCCGAUCUUCCCCGAUCCCUCCACACCAGGUCCAUGCAGACCUGCUUUCCACUCCACCAGGUCCCACACCUUCCUCAAUUACCUUUCAAAGAUCUCCAGAACUUGGAUUAGGGAUGGACUACUUUUUGCUGGUCCUGGAAGCAGCCACCAUUUUCCAAGCAGCUGCAUUGAAUUGUGGUCGCUCAGAAUAUGGCAGCCGCUUCUUGUAUUGUACCAAGUGGCUGAGCAAUAAAGCAGUCUAUUCUGCUUUUCCCAAAGUAUGGGUAGCAUUUAACCACCCCGUCAGGGGGAUCAGGAAGUUGGGGCCAUUAAGUGAGGCUGUGACAAUAAUGGCAGGCUCCAUUGCAGUCUUAAUCUGAGGAUUACCUAUAUGUACAGCACAUAUGAAGAAGGCAAGAUGGAGUAUGUGGGGGGAGGGAGUUUUCUGAGAAUUUGGAGAACAAUUGAGCGAUAUUGGUGAGCUUCAGGCAACCCCUGGGAUACAGAUUAUGUAACUAUGCUUAAAAAUGUAGCAGAAACCCUGGAAGAAAGUACAAAUCAAAUGUUAAUUUUUUUUGUGCAUUAUACAUUUAUACUAACUGGGUCAUUUAGGGUAUAGACCUAAUUAAACCUGUCUGCUUUUUCCACAUUGCUUAGCAACUGAGCAGAGAUGAGUAAAGGUCAAGCAUGUUUGGCUGGUAUAAUGGGCUGUAUAUACCAUGUGUUCUUCUCAAAGCUACCCUAGCAUGUCAUCUUUUGCUCUAGUGGGCUUGCUGAAGGUGUGUGUGUGUGUGUGUGUGUGUGUGUGUCUACAUACACACAAACAUAUACCCAUACAUACAUGCAGCUGCUAUUAAGCCUAUUUCAUUUUAGAAUCCAUCUGUUUCCUGAUUCUUAAUCCACUGAAUUCAAUUUGUUUUUGUUUUGGUUUUUUUUGUUUUUUUUCAGACACUCUUGUAUCACUCUUCUAAUACCUGGAACAUGUAUAUACAUAUUUCAUAGGAGGCAUUUAACUAUAGCCUAGCUAGCCAUUUGAAAGCAAUUUGUUUUCUGUCAGUGAGAAUCAGAAUAAUUGGAAACAAUGCAGAAGAAAUAUUCACUGCAGCACUCAUGGAAAUACAGACCGGGAAAAAAAAAAGCUACAUAAAUCUUUUUAUUUCCCAAUAUUUAUUAAAUGCAAAAUCUUUGCUGGGACCUUCAGAAAAAUGUACAGAAUGUAUAAAAGCACACAUAUUGGUUAUUCAUGCUGUAAAAUAUAUUUUGCAUAGCUGAUUGUAAUGUAAACUGACAAGUCAGAUUCGCCACCCACUGAAAAUGCUGAUGAAUGCUCACAUCCGGUUCUUAUAUCUGGCAGUAGUUUGCUUUGCUGUUUUAUAGAUGCCUUCACUACCCUCAGAUGGAUUUGCAGGUGCUAUUCUCCCAGUAUAGGGAUGAGUGGGAAAUCAGUAUAAGUCUAUAGACAGCAGAGGUUUAAAAUCAAAGAGGUGGCACUGAAUUAAUGGAUUCUCAGAUUUAGUCACAUAAUGUUCUUAUUUUUUUUUUUAAAGGGGAACAGCCAAAGCAAUAACUUGAAGAUAAAAUCUUUACUUGGUUACUUGUUUUCCCUACUUCUUCCAGAUCUAAGUUCCCCACUAUUUCCUGGAUUUAAAUAGCAAAAGCACUUAGACUGCUUCAUAGUUCUUUACAGCCCUCUCUAAGCAGAUUACCAAGUCAGCAUAUUGCCCCCAACAAUCAGGGUCCUCAUUUUACCGACCUCAGAAGGCUUGACGGGUGAGUCAACCCUGAGCCGGUCAGGAUUGAACUCCUGGCAGUGAGCAGAAUCAGCCUACAAUACUGCAUUUGAACCACUGUGCCACCAUGGCUCAAACUAAUAAUAAUGCUUUCCACUUCUAGAAGAUAACUUUUUGGUCAUGUAGGUGGAAGAUACAGUGUAAAAGAGAAAAAAAAGCAAGAUGCUAACAAGACCAAGCUUGGAAUUUUCUUAACUUUGCAGAAUGGAAGAAAUUCCAAAUUCUCCCUCCCUCCCUCCUUCCCUCCUGUCUAAAGAGUUGUUGACAGCAGUCCCUGUCAUCUUACAACCAGCGUGGUCAAUUUCUUUGGUGGUAUAAUAGGUUAGUAGAGAAUCCUAUGCUAAUCUGAUGUUUCAAGCUUAAUUUUUUCAUAGCCUCUUUGGGAUCCUAGGUACAGUUAAUAUCUGAUACAGUGUGUUUCAAUUAAUAUUUUCAGGCUUCAAGUGAAUAUGAAGGUCAAACAACUCAUAAUUCCUCCUGUUAAGUAGAUAUGCAUAUACAAUAUAAACAUAAUACUUAUUGAUAUGAAAUAACUUCCAGGCAUAAACAAUUGGCUAUGUCAUUAUUUCAUUCAGUCUCAGAAUUAUGCAGUGAUUCUUAAAGUAUUAAAGCAAACAAUAGCCUACCCAUGAAUUCUAGCUACUGGAAAUUCUGGCUACCUAGCAAUCUAAUUAGCACAUUGUGGAAUAAUCUUUUAUUGUAUAAAGCAUUAUCUGCAAAUCACUUGUUAGUCCUUGGCAGCUAUUUAGCCUAAACAUGGAGGUUAAAAGAUACAGUAUGGUACAUGAAAGGGCAUUUGCAAUCCUUCCCUCUAUCCCCCUGAAGUUUUCCACAACUGAAUCCUGCUCAGAUGGAUGGAUGGAUGGAUGGAUGGAUGGAUGGAUGGAUGGAUGGACGGAUGGACGGAAAGACAGAUGAUAGAUAGAUGGAUAAGAGAGAGUGAGAUAUGAUAGAUGAGAGGUAGAGAUAGAAGAGAGAUGAGACAGAGAGAGAGGGAGACAGAGGGAGGGAGGGAGGGAGGGAGGGAAGGAGAGAGAGGACAGGGUUUCAGCAGGAUUCAAAGCACAAGCCUGGAUUACAAUAUUUGUAAUUUGUGCAAACAUAAUGCAAGAUUCAUAUAUCAACCACUUAUAAGGCUAUUUUGUUGGUCAUGCUCAUUGCCUUUCUGACUUGCUGACACACACUUAACCUUACAUACUUCCUUUUCUCUUAAUAAAUGUAUUGCAGCAAAUCCUUAAAAGCAUAAUAGAAGAAAAUAGAUGCAAUAUGCUUUCAUUCAGGUUAGCAUUUUUUUACAAUAUAAAUAUUUAUGCGGGACUUGACAUAUCCUCUAUGUUUGGCUAGCCUUUAUGAGUGAUCCACAGUGUGCAUUUUGAAUUCCUUGUCAACCAGCCUUGAAGAGAGGAGUGUCCCCCACCCCCAUCCAAGAUCAAAGAUGGAAUAUCCACAGAUUUGGGUGAUCCAAACACCCACAGUUACUUGGUCUUGUAGAAUUGACUCAGAGUUGGUUACUCCUCAUCCAAAUCCACUCAGCUUCCUGCUAUUGGAGCAGACUCUUGGUGUUCUCACUUGACUAGUUAGGGGUCUAAAGGUAUCAUCAGCAUACCGAGAUUACUGAAUCUCAAACCAGCAGAUGACCUCGCCAAAAGUUUCAUGUAGACAUUGAAAAGGAGUUUGGGAGGGAAUAAAAUUUGAUGCACCCCACAUUGGAAGGGCCUAAGGAGUGAUGUUCCUACCCAACACCAACUGCAAUCAGUUUCAGAGAAAGGAAGAGAACCACCACAAAAUUCUAUCAUGUGUAAAUCUGUCUGUCUGUCCAUCCAUCCAUCCUGUUGAUGUAUGUUAACUGGUAGUAAUGCCUUGAUCCUGAGUUUCUUAAUGCCUAAAUGGGGUUCAAUUAAUCUAUAUGAAGAGUGUGCCUCUAUCUUUGAAAAUGCAUAGUUUUUUUUCAUAAUUGUGUUUGUCUAGUCCAUUCCAUUUCUUUAUAUAAUGUUUGUUGUAUCCGGUUGAAUAGCUUAUACAUUUGAUAAGAUCUCAAAUAUCUUGUGAUCUGGACUCCAGUUUGAGGGGAAAACAUGAGUUUUGGAAAUACAGAAAUGUUGUCAUGAGUGAUACAUGACUGAAUCUAAAUUCAGUAGUCAAUAUCACAUUGUAUCAGAAAUCAAGUGUUAAUGAAAACUAAGUUUUAAGUGAUAAUUACUAUGUUCAAGUUGGAGGUUAAACUGCAUAAAGCCAUGUACAGAAAAGCAAUAACAUGAAACCUGGAAAUAAUCAAUUUCAGAGUUUGGUGUCUGCAGAAAUCUUUGCCAUUCAGAAAGUUUCUGUCAUUUCUUCCAUUAUUUACAACCUCCAUUUUAUCUUCAAUUUGCUUUUCAUUACUAGAAGUAUCUAUUACUUCAAAGUGAUCUCAGACCAGAUGCAUAUUAAAUACUGUAACUAUUGAAAUUAGCAAUUACAUUAAUGACCAAAAUAUGAAAUUGAAAUCUUCAUUUUCUUUUCCAAGGCGUAUAAUAAUAUACAACUAAUUAUGGUUGCUUCUGAGAAAUGUGUACAGUGUUUUUUCUUCAUAGGAAAGAAAGCCUUGUAGAAAAUAUAGCCAUCUGCAGCCAAUCAAGUGAGUUUCAAAAUGACAACAUCCAGAUGAUGAUGUCAUAAUGCAGACUCUUUUCUUAAUGUAUUCGCAGCUUGAUGCAAGCACAGAAGUAUUGUGAAAUUAUGUUGCAUAUUUCUUCACUUCCAUAUUUGGCCUCUAUCUAAGAUAGCACACUCAGAUAAAUAUUCAAACCCAGUCCUCAUUGUGCUGUUACAGAUAAACUACAAAACAGAAUAAGUUUAUUCCUUCUAUGGAUAUCUGUCAAUCUGCUUAGAUGUGUAGCUCCUUUAUUCUUUAAACCACUAAUCUCUCUAUAUGUAUAAACUCUGUUAAUCUCUUUCAUAGUGUCAAUGUCAACAUCCAAGUAUACUUGCCCUCUCCAUAGUGAACAAUAGGGGGAGGGAAAUUUAGCAGGUAAAUGCUGAAAAAGAAAGGAAAGAAAAAGUUUUCUGAACAAAAUAUUACAGUAUUCUUGUUAUGUAUUGUAUAUAGUUGUCAGUUGAAGUUCUCAGUCUUGUCCUCUGUUGGAGCUGGAAAAUACUCUCUCCUGAUUGGUUGUGGGCUGAUCAGCUUCCCUAUAUAAGGAGCUGUAACAGCCAGGGAGCAACAGUUGCCUCACAGGCAGUAUCGAAUAAAGAGCUGUUAGACAUCAUUCUGGUCUCACCUCCAUUCUUCAUCCAGAACAUAACAAUUCUCUUCCCAUAACUUAUUCCUUUUAGAGUUACAGAUUUUUACAGAUUUUUCUAGAUACAAGACUCCAUAUGGUUGAUACCUAGCUGGGGAAAUUUUGGAGACAUCCCAGGGAAUAAAGAACUAACCUUGUAUAUGCAAAGACCAUAAAUUAAAUGAAUAAUCUGCUGUCUGUUUUACGAUAUGCAAAAUUGGCUGCUCAAGAUGCCCAUUCCUUCCUACCCAAUAAUACGGCCUAUCUUGUUGAAAAAGGAGAAGGAAAAAGGAGAAAAGAAAAACAAGAAAAUUAGCUAAUUUCUGCACUAGAACUUACUUUAUGUAACAAAUAUAGUUUGCCAGCAUUUUAUAUGGUGAUUCUUCCAUUAAAAAAUUGCAAAAUUAAAGGGGACAAAUUCAGUUUCUGGAAUAGUGUAUAGCUAAAUACGGAAUUGGCUUGACUUUUAGCCAUUUGGCUUUGUUCAGAGUUCUUUUGUGGUGAAGAGAUUUGAAGGGAUCACAUACUAGCUAUCAUAAAUUGGCUCAAUGAAAAUAAUGUUUUAGUAUGGAUUUUGUUUUUUAUUGUUUCAUUUUUCCCCCUUUUAGCCAAGCUGUUUUUCAGUAGAACAAGCAAACUUUCCAAUAAAUAUAAUUACUGUGGAACUUGAUAGUUAAACUCAUUCUUUUAAAGAUUUUCUACCUAUCCUCCAGCAUUUAUCUAUCUUUCUAUUUUGCCUCUGUUUAAUUUUGUUUUUAUGAUCAGCAUGACCGCAAUAGUAUUGAGAAGACAAUGUUUAAAAAUCUGUCAAAACUGGAAAGGUAUUCUCCACAAGAAAACAUUUCAGAAAAGCUUCCAAAGUUGCUAGGAGCAUGCCGUUAAGGUCAUCUGGAAGUUUAUCUGUGUCAUUGGGGUCACCUGAGUGGUGCAAAUUGGUGUGGAGCCUUCUUGGAACUGUGGAAAGGAAUCUCCAAUCUACAACAAGUCAUUGACCUAGAUAUGGAACCAACUAAAGUUGACUCAGCCUUCCAUCCUUUCUAAGAUGUAUCUAUGCCAGCCUUGCUUCCCAAGACAGCAUGUGCACUUGGUGUAAAGCAGAACCUGUUUCCAGAAUCUGACAUCAUUGAGAGGUUGCAUUGGCAUUUAUGAGAAACAACUGCGAAACAAUCCUUAUGAGUGAUUUAAUUGUGUCUCCAAUAUCACUAGGGAAAUCCUCCUUCCUGUUUAAUUCAUGAAAGGUUCAGCUGCAUAUAAUGCAUAGGAAUCAGCAUAGAUCAUCAAAAUGCUAAGUAUCUUUAUGCACAUGAAUAUGCUUUUAUUCCAAAAGAUCUUCUCACAGAGAAAUGAAGCACACAGAAAAUUUAUGCAUUGUUAUUUCUCUAUUAUGAGUUGUAAUCAUCAUUCAAAAUAGCCAGAGAUGGAGAAUUAUAAACUCGAAAAUACCCUUGUACUUCCAGUCAAUGGAGAAAAAUUAGCUUGGAAAAGCAUUAGUGCUUGAACGAUUGAAGCAAUUAUGCUUUGCACAUAAGCAGGAAAAAUGCAAGGAGGACCAAGCAUUCACAUUACAGAAGUGAUAAGCUGAUACUGAAUUGACGGAUUGAUUGAUUAUGUGCCAUCAAGUUGGUGCCAAGUCUUUGUAACCAUGUAGAGUCUUUUCUCCAAGAUGAUCUAGCACAUAAGCUGGCACAUUACUCUGAAAUGCUAUUACCUAAAGAUAGAAGAGACUUGGGGAGGAAAUCAUUCAAUAAACAUAUUGUAAAGGAGUCUAAGAAAACAAUGAGUUUGUCAGUCAAUCAAAUCAGAAAAAGUAGUAGUACUUUAUUAUAGUCAUUGACCAGCUCAAGAAACAGAAGGGAAAAAAAUUGUGAGAGCAAAUAAAAACCACAGAAAAAUCAAAUAAUUAUAAUUGGAGUGGUCAAAGUAGAGAGUGUUUUGCAAAUAGUAAAAGAAAGUGAGCCAUGUUAAGAGAAAUAAAAUCAUAGUGGUUGGAUAACAACUACAAAUAAAAUGGAUGUAAAGGUAAAAGUUUCCCUCGCACAUAUGUGCUAGUUGCUCCUGACUCUAGGAGGCAGUGCUCAUCUCCAUUUCAAAGCCAAAGAGCCAGCACUGUCUGAAGACGUCUCUGUGGUUAUGUGGCCAGCAUGAUUAAAUGCCAAAGGCGCACAGAACACUGUUACCUUCCCACCAAAGGUGGUCCCUAUUUUUCUACUUGCAUUUUUACAUGCUUUCAAACUGCAGAAGUUGGGACAAGUAACGGGAGCUUACCCCGUUAUGCGGCACUAUAGAUUUGAACCACUGAACUGCCGACCUUUCAAUCAACAAGCUCAGCAUCUUAGCCACUGAGCCACCAUGUCUGACUCAAAAUGGAUGUAGGUGACCUGAAAUAUGACAACAUGGGAUAUGAUUAGCUGCUGCUGGACAUCUUAAUGGAAGAAACAUAACAAAACAUUGGUUAAUCUUUCAAAAACUCUUUUACUACAGAGACAGUGUCUUUGUUCAAUGAUAUUUUGCUCUCUCAACCGUUCUGGAGGCAUUAAAUAUUGCCAGGAUUAGGGUUCUUCUGAAUUUGGGAACUGCUACUUGGCUUAGAUAUCUAGCUGGUUUGAAAAAAGAAAGAUCAGUUGUCUGUGUCAAACCUAUGGCAGAAAAUGUAAAUUCAACCAAUAAGGGAAGAUGCAUAUCCAAAUAUGUGUUUCAAUUUUGAUCACAGUGUAAGUCCAUGUUUAAAAAAAAAUGGGAAGAAAGUAUGUGCUUUAAGUUUUUAUACUACACCAUCUUUAAAGGUUUCAUUUGAGUUCCAAACAAAAAUUGUAUCUGCACAGCAGCUGAAAUACAUCUCAUUCAUCCAUACAACAAAAUGGUCAGAAGCACAUCUUAUAUGUUUUAUAUAUAUUUUUUCAGGAAAAGAUUCAUUACUCACUAAAGACCAUUCCAUUUUCCUAUGAAGCAUAACUAUCUUCUUUGAUAUUAUUUUUCAGAUAUGUAGCCUCAUUAUAUCAUUUAAUCAUUUGCUGCAAAUGAUUUACACCUUCAUGAUUUUAAUGACAUCAUCCUACAGAAUACACAUGCAUUCACAUUCCUAAACAACAUCCUGCUGUCAUAAAUGUUCCUCAUAUAUUUAUUCAUAAAUACAUUCAACAUCUGAGGUGACAUCAGACAAAUUUGUCUUAAUCCCUGCCCAGUGCAUUCCUUUACUUCAAUUUCAUCAAAAUUAUUUCAUCAUUUAUUUAUUUUUACUUUUAAUUCCAAACAUUCUGUAGGAGGUUCUUUUUUUAACCUUGCUCAUCCAUAUCCAAAACAUUAAAACAAAAUUCUUUCAAAAUCACUCAACAUUUCCUGUCAUUUUUUAAUCUUAACUGUUCUUUGUUCUGAUUGCACUUUUGAAAUUAUUCUUGUCUAUAUAUGCAUAAGUAUUUCUCGCUCAUUCUUUUUACAGCAAUCUCAUUUUUUCCUCAUUCAGUGUUAUGAUUUGAUUGUUCCCUCUUUUUUGUGCUUUCUACUAGCAUAACUCCUCACACAUCUGUAACAUAAUUCUUUUCUUGUGUUCCAAGAGACUUCAAUAUCUUUUUCCCUUACAUCAGCUGUAAAUUUCUAGCAGCACUAGAUAGUAGAAAAGAAAUUCACAAGCCUCUAACUCUUUGUUGACACUUACCGUGUUUCCUCAAAAAUAAGACCCUGUGUUAUAUUUUUUUGAAACCUGAAAUAAGCGCUUUGCCUUAUUGCCAUGCGCUCAAAAGCCCGAUUGGGCUUAUUAUCAGGGGAUAUCUUACUUUGGGGGAAACCGGGUAGUAAUAAUCCAGACUUUUGCAUUCCAAAUGUAGUAGCCCUAAAGUAAUGUCUCAAUAAAAUCUGUGCAACAGUCA
Molecule: non-coding RNA, 9452 nt
Organism: Pantherophis guttatus
Lineage: Eukaryota; Metazoa; Chordata; Lepidosauria; Squamata; Colubridae
Source: RefSeq, a predicted model, not a curated record